AGCCUGAUGCAGCGACGCCGCGUGAGGGAUGACGGCCUUCGGGUUGUAAACCUCUUUCAGUAGGGAAGAAGCGUAAGUGACGGUACCUGCAGAAGAAGCGCCGGCUAACUACGUGCCAGCAGCCGCGGUAAUACGUAGGGCGCAAGCGUUAUCCGGAAUUAUUGGGCGUAAAGAGCUCGUAGGCGGUUUGUCGCGUCUGCCGUGAAAGUCCGGGGCUCAACUCCGGAUCUGCGGUGGGUACGGGCAGACUAGAGUGAUGUAGGGGAGACUGGAAUUCCUGGUGUAGCGGUGAAAUGCGCAGAUAUCAGGAGGAACACCGAUGGCGAAGGCAGGUCUCUGGGCAUUAACUGACGCUGAGGAGCGAAAGCAUGGGGAGCGAACAGGAUUAGAUACCCUGGUAGUCCAUGCCGUAAACGUUGGGCACUAGGUGUGGGGGACAUUCCACGUUUUCCGCGCCGUAGCUAACGCAUUAAGUGCCCCGCCUGGGGAGUACGGCCGCAAGGCUAAAACUCAAAGGAAUUGACGGGGGCCCGCACAAGCGGCGGAGCAUGCGGAUUAAUUCGAUGCAACGCGAAGAACCUUACCAAGGCUUGACAUGAACCGGAAAGAUCUGGAAACAGGUCCCCCACUUGUGG
Molecule: ribosomal RNA, 635 nt
Filed under: Arthrobacter sp. Se3Pt_1617
Lineage: Bacteria; Bacillati; Actinomycetota; Actinomycetes; Micrococcales; Micrococcaceae
Description: bacterial SSU rRNA
Rfam family: Bacterial small subunit ribosomal RNA
Source: RNAcentral